AGAACGAACGCUGGCGGCAUGCCUAAUACAUGCAAGUCGAACGAACUCUUCGGAGUUAGUGGCGCACGGGUGCGUAACGCGUGGGAAUCUGCCCCUUGGUUCGGAAUAACAGUUGGAAACGACUGCUAAUACCGGAUGAUGACGAAAGUCCAAAGAUUUAUCGCCAAGGGAUGAGCCCGCGUAGGAUUAGCUAGUUGGUGAGGUAAAGGCUCACCAAGGCAACGAUCCUUAGCUGGUCUGAGAGGAUGAUCAGCCACACUGGGACUGAGACACGGCCCAGACU
Molecule: ribosomal RNA, 283 nt
Filed under: uncultured soil bacterium
Lineage: Bacteria
Description: partial 16S ribosomal RNA
Rfam family: Bacterial small subunit ribosomal RNA
Source: RNAcentral